Molecule: ribosomal RNA, 433 nt
Filed under: uncultured bacterium
Lineage: Bacteria
Description: partial 16S ribosomal RNA
Rfam family: Bacterial small subunit ribosomal RNA
Source: RNAcentral
AAUGAACGCUGGCGGCAUGCCUAACACAUGCAAGUCGAACGAAGGCUUCGGCCUUAGUGGCGCACGGGUGCGUAACGCGUGGGAAUCUGCCCUUGGGUUCGGAAUAACAGUUAGAAAUGACUGCUAAUACCGGAUGAUGUCGUAAGACCAAAGAUUUAUCGCCCAAGGAUGAGCCCGCGUAGGAUUAGCUAGUUGGUGGGGUAAAGGCCUACCAAGGCGACGAUCCUUAGCUGGUCUGAGAGGAUGAUCAGCCACACUGGGACUGAGACACGGCCCAGACUCCUACGGGAGGCAGCAGUGGGGAAUAUUGGACAAUGGGCGAAAGCCUGAUCCAGCAAUGCCGCGUGAGUGAUGAAGGCCUUAGGGUUGUAAAGCUCUUUUACCCGGGAUGAUAAUGACAGUACCGGGAGAAUAAGCUCCGGCUAACUACGUG